UGGGCUGCUAGCUCAGUCUGGUAGAGCAGGUGACUCUUAAUCACCGGGUCGGGGGUUCGAAUCCCUCGCAGCCCAU
Molecule: transfer RNA, 76 nt
Filed under: bacterium HR37
Lineage: Bacteria
Description: tRNA-Lys
Rfam family: tRNA
About the family: Transfer RNA (tRNA) molecules are approximately 80 nucleotides in length. Their secondary structure includes four short double-helical elements and three loops (D, anti-codon, and T loops). Further hydrogen bonds mediate the characteristic L-shaped molecular structure. tRNAs have two regions of fundamental functional importance: the anti-codon, which is responsible for specific mRNA codon recognition, and the 3' end, to which the tRNAs corresponding amino acid is attached (by aminoacyl-tRNA synthetases). tRNAs cope with the degeneracy of the genetic code in two manners: having more than one tRNA (with a specific anti-codon) for a particular amino acid; and 'wobble' base-pairing, i.e. permitting non-standard base-pairing at the 3rd anti-codon position.
Source: RNAcentral